CUGGUCAGUACUUCCGUCACGCCGAUGCCGCCCGGCACCGGCGACAGAUACGACACCAGCAGGCUGUUGCUGAAUGCGGUAAGCGCCUUGCCUGCUGAAACGGGGAUGCCGGCGACUGCGCACAGAUAAGC
This 131-nucleotide unclassified non-coding RNA is filed under the name fungal sp. RNAcentral's name for it is "partial internal transcribed spacer region". Lineage: Eukaryota; Fungi. The record is from RNAcentral.